UUCAUGGAUUCAUCCAUUCAGUAAAAAAAAUUAUUACACACCAACCAUGUGUAGGGCAGCUUGCCAGCAGUGUAGCUACAGUGGUAAGCAAAACAGACUCAUACCUUCAUGGGGCUUACAGUUUGAUAAGGAAGCAAGUUGUUAAACAAAUGAUCAGACAAAUCAAAAGCUAUGAUAAGGAAUAAGGAGGCAAAGUACAAUGUGUUUAUGAGAGUGAAUGUCAGGAACUGAGAUGAGGUCUCAGGAAGCUUCCUGAAGAGUGCCCCUGCUUUGCUGGUGUCCUGAGUACACGUUUCUCUGCUUCUUGGGUAAUCUGACACGAUAACUGGCCAGAGGGAGUCAGCCAGGAUCACCCUGAAUAUUGCUAGAGACCUUUUGAUGGUUUGAAAUCACUCAUGCAAGAGACACCAAGUACCCAGGAUGUUUCAAGCACUGACCCAGGUCCUGAGGCUGCAACAGAUAAUUAAUUAAGGGUUCGGCAGACAGAGCAAGACCUGGCGGGGACAUUGAGUGCCCCGCUCCGGAGGAGUCUGAGUGGAUGGAGGCUUGGAGUGUGGAAGUGUAUGGCUUUCACAGAAAGAAAGCCAAGCCCUGGUGCUGGAUGACGAAGCAGUGAGAUGGGAGAUGGCGCUCAGGGAACUUGCAGGGGACUUGUCGUGGAGAGACUACAAUGUCUAGGAGAGGAGAAUAAAGGAACGAAAGCGGGAGGAGAGGCAGUGGGUUAGGGGUGAAAACUCCUGCUCCGCGUAACCUCCCUAGAAAGUGGCCAAGUGGGCAGAGGGCAGAGGCCCUGGCCAACCCCGCCAGCCCCCCAUGCCUCCUGAGCUCUGCUGAGCCCUGCAGCUCGUCUCCUCCUGGCUCCAGAAGUCAGACGAAACCCUGAAGGAGAGCCGAGGCGGAAAAAUGUUCCUGUACACGCACCCGGAGGCUUUUGCAGGAGGCGGCUGUUGGAGAACCAGGAAAACAAGCCAAGAAACAAGAGAGAGGAAAAAGACCACGCCUCGCUUGGCAGAUUCCUAAUGGCCCAGGAGACCUGAGGCUUUACAGUGGGAGGCCGGUGGGGGCUGGCUCGGGUGGGAGGGAAGGGCAGGCCGAAGGACAGCCACUUGCUGGCCAGUGACCUUGGGCGGGAUGCUGCCUGCUUCCCUCUGGUGAGAAUGGGGAGGAGGGGGCAGGGGCCAGGCUGGCCGGCUGAGGUCACAGGAAGGCCCCUUCCAGCCUGAAACGCGAUCUCGGGAUGUGGGGCCUGCCAACCUGCAGCGACCCUGGGCCAGCAGAGAUGAAAGGCUGCCUGUCCCCAGCUUCCGGACCCCCGAGGCCCCAGUGCCUCCAACUUGAAGGGCAGCAAAGCGGCUGCAGCUGGCUGAACCCGGUUACUGGGCUCCCCCCACCACCACCACCACCCUCCCCUGCCACCUGAUGUCCUUCAACCCUCCUUUCCCUGUUUUGCAGAGGACACUCGGGGCCCAGAGAGGGCUGGUGACCUGCCCGAGGUCACGCAGCAAGCUGGAGGCUGAGCCAGGACUCACCACAAAGUCUUUGGAUUCCAAGGCCAGGCCUCAUUCCCUUUCCUGGAAACUUGGCUGCCUGGGGGGCUUACCCUGGGGAGUUGGAGAGACCCAGGGUUAGGGAGGACAGUUGGGAGCUGUGUCUGUUUGAAGUCACAGCUUAAUGUUGAUUAAAGUGCCUUUAAAAAAAAAAAAAAAAAGACGAAAGGAACAUUCCCAGCCCCUGCCAUGAGCCUGGACUUGCUCUGCUGGCAGGGGAAGGAACGGUGGCCAGCUGCAGCCUCAGUUCCUGCCGCUCCCGCCCCAGCAGACAGAGGGACAAAGGCCUCUUCUCAGCCUGUCCCCUCCAGCCCCCUGGAUCAGAGCAACAACCAGGAGGCCCUGUCACUGACCAGCUAAGUCCCUGUUUCUCUCUAGGUCUUAGUGCCCUUUCUGGAAAAUGGGGGCAGAGUAUCUGCAUGACCUACUUCUCAGCACCAUUUUGAGGUUUCAAAGAGGGAGAGUUAACAGAAAUACAAACCUCUCAGCACCUCCUUCUGCCUGAGGGCCGGCCGCCUCUGAGACCCCUCUCCCCUCAGGCUUAAACUGGCCAGCCCCAGCCGCUCAUUGGGGACCAUCCCUCACUUUGGGGAGCCCUCCCUCACCUCCAGACUGUGCUGUUCCUUCAAGGUACAGUUAGUUUCCCAUUUUACAGAUGAGGAAACUGAGAAAAGAAGAGAUAGAGUAAUGUACCUGAAGUCACAGCAAGCUGGAAGCAGAGCCAGAACUCUGUGCAAGUAGCAGCAGAACGAGGAUUCAGAUGCAGAUCCCAGGCUGGAAUCAUUAAGCCACUAAUAAGGCCAGUUCAAUUUGUUCCUUGUCCAUCCUAGCUCCAGAAUACCUGGCAUACAGUAAGUGCUCCAUAUGUGUCGGGUGAACAAGGACAAAAGCAAGUGAUAAAUGCAUUCAGGUAUUUGGAGAAGACUAAGUGGUGUUGGAGAAGACUCUUGAGAGUCCCUUGGACUGCAAGAUCAAACCAGUCAAUCCUAAAGGAAAAUCAGUCCUGAAUAUUCACUGAAAGGACUAAUGCUGAAGCUGAAGCUCCAAUACUUUGACUACCUGACAUGAAGAGCUGACUCAGAAAAGACCCUGAAGCUGGGAAAGAUUGAAGGCAGGAGGAGAAGGGGACGACAGAGAACAAGAUGGUUGGAUGGCAUCACUGACUCAAUGGAUGAGUUUUUGCAAGCUCCGGGAGAUGGUUAAGGAUAGGGAAGCCUGACGUGCUGCAGUCCGUGGGGUCUCAAAGAGUCAGACAAGACUCAGCGACAGAACAACAAGAGCACCAUCCAGGGGUGAGUUUUGCAGGUGCCAUGUGUGGAGCGAAGCCCUGAUGAAGGGAGGCGGUACCCAAUGUAUUGUUAAAGACCUGUUAUUGAGCUUCUUUCUGGAAUAUAACAGGCCCCAAACCUGGGACAUCAUCUGUGAUGCCUCCUUCCACUUCAUCUGCCAGAGCCAUUCAGCCCCCAGGGUCUGCUUGCCAUCUCCCAGGGCACCCCAUCUUCUCCAUCCUUCAACCCCCAUCUUUUCCUUGAAUUUUUGUAGCAACUCUUACACAGGGUUCUCUGUCUCUAAUUUCUCCUCCUUCGAAGUGGGCCUCUAAAAACAUAAAGCUGGGGACUUCCCUGGUUGUCCAGUGGUUAGGGAUCUACCUGCCAAUACCGGGGACACAGAUUCCAUCCUUGGUCCGGGAAGAUCUCGCACACCAUGCAGUAACCAAGCCCAUGCACCACGGCUACUGAAGCGCUCACACCCUGGAGCCUGUGCUCUGCGACAAGAGAUGGCACCUCAGUGAGAAGCCCAUGAGCCACAAUGAAGACCCAGUGCAGCCAAAUAUAAAUAAAUAAAGUUUAAAAGUGGCAAUAAAUAAAAACAGAAAGCUAAUUGUGCGUCCCAUCCCUGUUUACUCCCUCCCUCACUAAUGAACCUUGCAUGGCUCCCCACUGCUCUCUGGAUAAAGCCUGCACUCCUCACCAAGACUUCUACCACCCAAACCUCUGCCU
Dama dama (fallow deer) is the source of this 3547-nucleotide long non-coding RNA. RefSeq lists it as uncharacterized. The transcript is spliced from 5 exons. The record is from RefSeq and is a predicted model, not a curated record. NCBI's taxonomy places the organism in Eukaryota, Metazoa, Chordata, Mammalia, Artiodactyla, Cervidae.